Molecule: ribosomal RNA, 465 nt
Filed under: Vreelandella stevensii
Lineage: Bacteria; Pseudomonadati; Pseudomonadota; Gammaproteobacteria; Oceanospirillales; Halomonadaceae
Description: partial 16S ribosomal RNA
Rfam family: Bacterial small subunit ribosomal RNA
Source: RNAcentral
CCUACGGGGGGCAGCAGUGGGGAAUAUUGGACAAUGGGGGCAACCCUGAUCCAGUCAUGCCGCGUGUGUGAAGAAGGCCCUCGGGUUGUAAAGCACUUUCAGUGAGGAAGAACGCCUGGUGGUUAAUACCCAUCAGGAAAGACAUCACUCACAGAAGAAGCACCGGCUAACUCCGUGCCAGCAGCCGCGGUAAUACGGAGGGUGCGAGCGUUAAUCGGAAUUACUGGGCGUAAAGCGCGCGUAGGUGGCUUGAUAAGCCGGUUGUGAAAGCCCCGGGCUCAACCUGGGAACGGCAUCCGGAACUGUCAAGCUAGAGUGCAGGAGAGGAAGGUAGAAUUCCCGGUGUAGCGGUGAAAUGCGUAGAGAUCGGGAGGAAUACCAGUGGCGAAGGCGGCCUUCUGGACUGACACUGACACUGAGGUGCGAAAGCGUGGGUAGCAAACAGGAUUAGAUACCCCAGUAGUC